Heterocephalus glaber (naked mole-rat) is the source of this 1785-nucleotide non-coding RNA. The record is from RefSeq and is a predicted model, not a curated record. Lineage: Eukaryota; Metazoa; Chordata; Mammalia; Rodentia; Bathyergidae.
CAACGCGCACUACGCAAGCCUCUUACAUCCGACCCUGCGCUCUUAGAGUUCCGGGGGUCGUGGGAUUUACUUCCGGCAGCAAGCGUUGGACCAUGGCUCCCCUCCUCCGAGCUGUGCUGAGGUUGCAGGGACCAGCUGCACAGGCAAGGCCUCUUCACAGGCUGUGGUACUGCAGUAGGCAGGAGAGUCCCAAGAGGUGGAUGGGGAAGCGGUCACCCACCUCAGAGGAGAAACCACCAGGCACAGAGACAGAGAAAUUUCUGAUCAUCUACCGUUUUAAUGCAAUCAGAGCCUUUGGGGUCAUAUCUCGGUUGAAGGUGGCACAGACAGCCAUGUCGGUGCUAGCCUUGCCACCAGGCUACUACUGGUACUCGCAGGGUCACUUGACUCUUAACUCACUGUGCCUAGCGACUGGGAUUGCUGGCUUCGCCCUGGCCAUGCUGUGCUGGAUGAGCUACUUUUUCCGGAGGCUGGUGGGCAUCCUGUAUGUGAACGAAUCCGGCACAGUGCUGCGAGUGUCUCACCUGUCCUUCUGGGGCUGGCGGCAGGACACAUACUGUCCUGUGCUGGAUGUGAUGCCCCUGACAGAAUCCAACCAGAGGCCCCAGGAUAUGUUGAUGUGCAUCCAGCAGUACACCGGGAAGCAGACUUUCUACCUCACUCUACCUUAUGGGCACAUUGUGGACAGAGAGCGAUUCACUCAGAUUUUUGGGGAAGUGGGCACACGUAAGUGAACAGCUGGGAGCUGGGGCACCACCUGGGUCUCUGACAGGAAGGCCAAAGGCAAGGGCAAAGCUGAAGCAGAGUGAUGUCAGGGGCCCUGGGAACUCAUCUUUUGGGAGAUUCGUGAGACAGAAGGUAAUAACCAGUUUUAGGAAAAAGAUGCCUGACAUUCAGGCAGAAGUUUCUGAAGAGGCAGUUCUUGGAUGAAGCUGUGCGGGGUUCACUGAGACCGCCACUGCUAUGAAAUUGGAAGGCAGAGGGUGUGGCAGGGAAGCAGAGGAACUGGAGUCAGGGGCCUUGGGUUCUGUCAGUUCUCAGCUCCGAGGCUUGGGCAGGGUAUGGUAUCUGAACCUUGGUUUUCUUAUCUGACAAAUGGAAAGUCCUGCAUGACAUGUGGUAUCACCGUGAAAAUAAACAAUGCAUGUCAGGCUGCCAUGUGGCUCAGUGGUGGAGUACUUGCCUCACGUGUGCAAGAUGUUAGGUUCCAUCCCAGCACUGCAAAACCCACAGUGACUGCCAGGGGCUUUGCACGAUCAGCAGCUCAGAACUGGGCAGAGAUGACAGCAUGGCGGGAGACUCAGGCUGAGAGCGGGGAUUUCCAGAGCCUGUGCUGUGCCCCGUUACAUACCCAGCAGCAGAAGGGACUGGGGUGAAGCUGGGGGUGGGCGCCUGUCAUUCUGCUGGGGUAGUCCCCACACCCACACACGGACUGGGGCGGGGACGUUCACGUGAGCACAGCCCUCCAGCUGAGAGCCCAGGCGAUCUUGCAUUGAAGGCUUUGCGGUAUAACCCAGGCGAACUCUAUGCCAGCGCAUCACCAAGUUAAAGAAGCUGUUGGCCACAGAAGCUCUUCCUCACGGGCUCUGCCUUAGCAGCCUGUCUACGGGGCUUCCCGUGUUUCCUCCAAUGUCUUCCAAGUUGCUGUAAUCUUGAGCUCUGCCAAAAUCCUUAUGUUGAAAUUCUAGCUAAACUAGUCCCCUAAAGAAGAUGUCUCAGGAACUCAUCAUGCCCUGAGUACACAAGAACUUGUUGGCAAAUGGCUUAAUUUUUUUUUUUUUUUUU